CAGGUGCUGCGUAGUGCGAGAGACAAUAAAUCCCUUGGGCCAAUAUAUUCUUCUAGGGAGCUGUUCCUUUCGGGGUCUUGGUCUCGAAAUACGGCGCCCACCUGCUUAUGCGGGCCUUAGAGGAUGAAAUCGUUAACCGGCUAAUGCGGCACCACC
Molecule: non-coding RNA, 156 nt
Filed under: Rhodospirillaceae bacterium
Lineage: Bacteria; Pseudomonadati; Pseudomonadota; Alphaproteobacteria; Rhodospirillales; Rhodospirillaceae
Description: 6S RNA
Rfam family: 6S / SsrS RNA
About the family: E. coli 6S RNA was the first non coding RNA to be sequenced, but its function was unknown until recently.
Source: RNAcentral